CUCAUUAAAUCAGUUAUAGUUUAUUUGAUGGUCUCUUUUGUCUUUUUUUACCUACUUGGAUAACCGUGGUAAUUCUAGAGCUAAUACAUGCGCAAGGUCCCGAGCGCGGGGGGCGGGGGCUUCACAGCUCUGUUCUCGCAUGCGCAGAGGGAUGUAUUUAUUAGGUUAAAAACCAGCGUAGCCAGCAAUGGCUACAAUCUCCUGGUGAUUCAUAGUAACUUUUUCGGAUCGCAUUCAUG
This 239-nucleotide ribosomal RNA is filed under the name uncultured Acanthamoeba. Its description in RNAcentral is "partial 18S ribosomal RNA". It matches the Rfam family "Eukaryotic small subunit ribosomal RNA", at positions 97 to 279 of the family's 1831-position model. The record is from RNAcentral. Lineage: Eukaryota; Discosea; Longamoebia; Acanthamoebidae.